Molecule: transfer RNA, 58 nt
Filed under: Flavobacteriales bacterium
Lineage: Bacteria; Pseudomonadati; Bacteroidota; Flavobacteriia; Flavobacteriales
Description: tRNA-Met
Rfam family: tRNA
About the family: Transfer RNA (tRNA) molecules are approximately 80 nucleotides in length. Their secondary structure includes four short double-helical elements and three loops (D, anti-codon, and T loops).
Source: RNAcentral
GGAGCAGUUGGGAGCUCGUCGGGCUCAUAACCCGAAGGUCACAGGUUCGAGUCCUGUC